RNAcentral lists this ribosomal RNA (505 nucleotides) under uncultured bacterium. Its description in RNAcentral is "partial 16S ribosomal RNA". It matches the Rfam family "Bacterial small subunit ribosomal RNA", at positions 28 to 507 of the family's 1533-position model. The record is from RNAcentral.
GACGAACGCUGGCGGCGUGCCUAAUACAUGCAAGUAGAACGCACAGUUUAUACCGUAGCUUGCUACACCAUAGACUGUGAGUUGCGAACGGGUGAGUAACGCGUAGGUAACCUGCCUGGUAGCGGGGGAUAACUAUUGGAAACGAUAGCUAAUACCGCAUAAUAUUAAUUAUUGCAUGAUAAUUAAUUGAAAGGUGCAAUUGCACCACUACCAGAUGGACCUGCGUUGUAUUAGCUAGUAGGUGAGGUAACGGCUCACCUAGGCGACGAUACAUAGCCGACCUGAGAGGGUGAUCGGCCACACUGGGACUGAGACACGGCCCAGACUCCUACGGGAGGCAGAAGUAGGGAAUCUUCGGCAAUGGACGAAAGUCUGACCGAGCAACGCCGCGUGAGUGAAGAAGGUUUUCGGAUCGUAAAGCUCUGUUGUAAGAGAAGAACGGGUGUGAGAGUGGAAAGUUCACACUGUGACGGUAUCUUACCAGAAAGGGACGGCUAACUACGUG